UACGGAGGGUGCAAGCGUUGUCCGGAAUCACUGGGCGUAAAGGGCGCGUAGGCGGCUCGGUAAGUAGGGGGUGAAAUCCUGCGGCUUAACCGCAGGGCUGCCUUCUAAACUGUCGAGCUCGAGCACGGUAGAGGCAGAUGGAAUUCCCGGUGUAGCGGUGGAAUGCGUAGAGAUCCGGAAGAACACCGGUGGCGAAGGCGGCCUGCUGGGCAGUGGCUGACACUGAGGCGCGACAGCGUGGGGAGCAAACAGG
Molecule: ribosomal RNA, 253 nt
Filed under: uncultured bacterium
Lineage: Bacteria
Description: partial 16S ribosomal RNA
Rfam family: Bacterial small subunit ribosomal RNA
Source: RNAcentral